Molecule: ribosomal RNA, 780 nt
Filed under: Bacillus aerius
Lineage: Bacteria; Bacillati; Bacillota; Bacilli; Caryophanales; Bacillaceae
Description: bacterial SSU rRNA
Rfam family: Bacterial small subunit ribosomal RNA
Source: RNAcentral
GCAGUCGAGCGGACAGAAGGGAGCUUGCUCCCGGAUGUUAGCGGCGGACGGGUGAGUAACACGUGGGUAACCUGCCUGUAAGACUGGGAUAACUCCGGGAAACCGGAGCUAAUACCGGAUAGUUCCUUGAACCGCAUGGUUCAAGGAUGAAAGACGGUUUCGGCUGUCACUUACAGAUGGACCCGCGGCGCAUUAGCUAGUUGGUGAGGUAACGGCUCACCAAGGCGACGAUGCGUAGCCGACCUGAGAGGGUGAUCGGCCACACUGGGACUGAGACACGGCCCAGACUCCUACGGGAGGCAGCAGUAGGGAAUCUUCCGCAAUGGACGAAAGUCUGACGGAGCAACGCCGCGUGAGUGAUGAAGGUUUUCGGAUCGUAAAGCUCUGUUGUUAGGGAAGAACAAGUGCAAGAGUAACUGCUUGCACCUUGACGGUACCUAACCAGAAAGCCACGGCUAACUACGUGCCAGCAGCCGCGGUAAUACGUAGGUGGCAAGCGUUGUCCGGAAUUAUUGGGCGUAAAGGGCUCGCAGGCGGUUUCUUAAGUCUGAUGUGAAAGCCCCCGGCUCAACCGGGGAGGGUCAUUGGAAACUGGGAAACUUGAGUGCAGAAGAGGAGAGUGGAAUUCCACGUGUAGCGGUGAAAUGCGUAGAGAUGUGGAGGAACACCAGUGGCGAAGGCGACUCUCUGGUCUGUAACUGACGCUGAGGAGCGAAAGCGUGGGGAGCGAACAGGAUUAGAUACCCUGGUAGUCCACGCCGUAAACGAUGAGUGCUAAGU